GGAAAGCAUAUAUCGAGGAAGGUAGCACUUUCAAGGUCUUUGGCUGAAAUCAGAUUUUUGUUCUUUUUUUAUUGAGAAAACUUUUGUUAAUUGUUACUUUUAAUGUUUUGCUAUGUACAAAAUUUGUUUUAAUGGCAUGGCAUUCCUUUUAUGUUCAUUUGAAUGCAAUAAUUUCGUUGGUAAUUUCAAAGUGUUUGCCAGGUCCAUUGUUGUUUUUGCCCCCAUGAUUAAUUAAUCUAUGCAUGGCUGCUUGAUAAGUACAUUCCAGUUUCA
Molecule: unclassified non-coding RNA, 273 nt
Filed under: Hevea brasiliensis (rubber tree)
Lineage: Eukaryota; Viridiplantae; Streptophyta; Magnoliopsida; Malpighiales; Euphorbiaceae
Source: RNAcentral